AGGACUAACGCUGGCGGCGUGCCUAACACAUGCAAGUCGAACGGGGUAGCAAUACCCAGUGGCAGACGGGUGAGUAACACGUGGUCAACCUACCUCUAUGUGGGGGAUAACUAGCCGAAAGGUUAGCUAAUACCGCAUACGAUCGCUUUGGGGCAUCCCUAGGCGAUGAAAGGAGCAAUCCGCAUAGAGAGGGGACUGCGUCCCAUUAGUUAGUUGGUGGGGUAACGGCCUACCAAGACUCCGAUGGGUAGCUGGCUUGAGAGAGCGACCAGCCACACUGGAACUGAGACACGGUCCAGACUCCUAUGGAGGCAGCAGUGAGGAAUUUUCCGCAAUGGGCGAAAGCCUGACGGAGCGACGCCGCGUGUGGGAAGAAGGCCUUCGGGUCGUAAACCACUGUCGAAGGGGACGAUAAUGACGGUACCCUUGGAGGAAGCCCCGGCUAACUACGUGCCAGCAGCCGC
Molecule: ribosomal RNA, 464 nt
Filed under: uncultured bacterium
Lineage: Bacteria
Description: SSU rRNA
Rfam family: Bacterial small subunit ribosomal RNA
Source: RNAcentral